UACGGGGGGGGCAAGCGUUGUUCGGAAUUACUGGGCGUAAAGGGCUCGUAGGCGGCCAACUAAGUCGGACGUGAAAUCCCUCAGCUUAACCGGGGAACUGCGUCCGAUACUGGAUGGCUGGAGGUUGGGAGAGGGAUGCGGAAUUCCAGGUGUAGCGGUGAAAUGCGUAGAUAUCUGGAGGAACAUCGGUGGCGAAGGCGGCAUCCUGGACCAAUUCUGACGCUGAGGAGCGAAAGCCAGGGGAGCAAACGGG
RNAcentral lists this ribosomal RNA (253 nucleotides) under uncultured bacterium. Its description in RNAcentral is "partial 16S ribosomal RNA". It matches the Rfam family "Bacterial small subunit ribosomal RNA", at positions 524 to 776 of the family's 1533-position model. The record is from RNAcentral.